Non-coding RNA from Acanthosepion pharaonis, 114 nucleotides. The record is from the annotation of a GenBank genome assembly. NCBI's taxonomy places the organism in Eukaryota, Metazoa, Mollusca, Cephalopoda, Sepiida, Sepiidae.
UUACGGCCAUAUAAAUUUGAAACAUCGGUUCUCGUAAGACCACCGAAGUUAAGCAAACCUCGCGCUUGGUCAGUACCUAGAUGGGUGACUGCUUGGGAAUACCAGGUGCUGUAA